UGUAUCUUUGCACUACUUUGUUCCAUUAAGGAUGAAAAGGGAAUCAGGUGCAAAUCCUGAACAGACCCGCUGCUGUAAGCUCUGGGAAUGUUUGUAUCAAAAUACCACUGUUGCAAAAUGGGAAGGUGAUAUAAGCAAGAGUAAGUCAGAAGACCUGCAAAGUAAAUAUUUUCGAC
RNAcentral lists this non-coding RNA (176 nucleotides) under Dysgonomonas gade. Lineage: Bacteria; Pseudomonadati; Bacteroidota; Bacteroidia; Bacteroidales; Dysgonomonadaceae. The record is from RNAcentral. RNAcentral also lists the same sequence under 1 other name.